Molecule: ribosomal RNA, 253 nt
Filed under: uncultured bacterium
Lineage: Bacteria
Description: partial 16S ribosomal RNA
Rfam family: Bacterial small subunit ribosomal RNA
Source: RNAcentral
GACGUAGGGCGCGAGCGUUGUCCGGAUUUAUUGGGCGUAAAGAGCGUGUAGGCGGCUAGGUAGGUCCGUUGUGAAAACUCGAGGCUCAACCUCGAGACGCCGGUGGAAACCAUCUAGCUAGAGUCCGGAAGAGGAGAGUGGAAUUCCUGGUGUAGCGGUGAAAUGCGCAGAUAUCAGGAAGAACACCCGUGGCGAAGGCGGCUCUCUGGGACGUGACUGACGCUGAGACGCGAAAGCGUGGGGAGCGAACAGG